UUAUGGCUCAGGAUGAACGCUAGCGGCAGGCUAACACAUGCAAGUCGAGGGGCGAGCGGGAUGUAGCAAUACAUGCCGGCGACCGGCGGAUGGGUGCGUAACGCGUAUGCAACCUACCUUAUACAGGGGAAUAACCUUUCGAAAGGGAGACUAACACCCCAUGGUAUUGAUUUAAGGCAUCUUAGAUUAAUUAAAUAUUUAUAGGUAUAAGAUGGGCAUGCGUAUGAUUAGCUAGUUGGUAAGGUAACGGCUUACCAAGGCGACGAUCAUUAGGGGUUCUGAGAGGAAGGUCCCCCACACUGGUACUGAGACACGGACCAGACUCCUACGGGAGGCAGCAGUGAGGAAUAUUGGUCAAUGGGCGCAAGCCUGAACCAGCCAUGCCGCGUGCAGGAAGACGGCCUUAUGGGUUGUAAACUGCUUUUACAUAAGACUAACCGUAUAUUUGCGAAUAUACCUGAAUGUAUUAUGAGAAUAAGGAUCGGCUAACUCCGUGCCAGCCGCUGC
This 507-nucleotide ribosomal RNA is filed under the name uncultured bacterium. RNAcentral's name for it is "bacterial SSU rRNA". It matches the Rfam family "Bacterial small subunit ribosomal RNA", at positions 17 to 518 of the family's 1533-position model. The record is from RNAcentral.